Molecule: non-coding RNA, 21 nt
Filed under: Rattus norvegicus (Norway rat)
Lineage: Eukaryota; Metazoa; Chordata; Mammalia; Rodentia; Muridae
Source: RNAcentral
UGAUUGAUGAUGGUAGCAGAC